This 92-nucleotide transfer RNA is filed under the name Holosporales bacterium. Its description in RNAcentral is "tRNA-Ser". It matches the Rfam family "tRNA". Rfam says of the family: Transfer RNA (tRNA) molecules are approximately 80 nucleotides in length. Their secondary structure includes four short double-helical elements and three loops (D, anti-codon, and T loops). Lineage: Bacteria; Pseudomonadati; Pseudomonadota; Alphaproteobacteria; Holosporales. The record is from RNAcentral.
GGAAGGGUGCCGGAGCGGUUGAACGGGGCGGUCUCGAAAACCGUUGUAUGCUUUAAGGCAUACCGUGGGUUCGAAUCCCACCUCUUCCGCCA